UACAGGGGGUGCAAGCGUUGCUCGGAAUCACUGGGCGUAAAGCGUACGCAGGCGGACCGUUAAGUCGGGUGUGAAAGCCCGGGGCUCAACCCCGGAACUGCAUUCGAUACUGGCGGUCUUGAAUACGGGAGAGGUGAGUGGAAUUCCUGGUGUAGAGGUGAAAUUCGUAGAUAUCAGGAGGAACACCGGUGGCGAAAGCGGCUCACUGGCCCGAUAUUGACGCUCAUGUACGAAAGCGUGGGGAGCAAACGGG
Molecule: ribosomal RNA, 253 nt
Filed under: uncultured bacterium
Lineage: Bacteria
Description: partial 16S ribosomal RNA
Rfam family: Bacterial small subunit ribosomal RNA
Source: RNAcentral